UGCUAAAGAGUGUUGGGUGGUUGGUAGC
Molecule: non-coding RNA, 28 nt
Filed under: Mus musculus (house mouse)
Lineage: Eukaryota; Metazoa; Chordata; Mammalia; Rodentia; Muridae
Source: RNAcentral